AAACGACAGUCACUCAUUGUCAGUAAAUGACAGGCCGUUGAACCGCGCAUAAUGUUAUCGUUAAAUGGUCGACGGAGCAAGUCAACGACAUGUCGUCCGUAACAAAUAAUCAAUAGCGGAUGGUAUACAUGUAAUCAUUUUUUAGACUUCUUUUUUUUCCCUCCUUUGCAGCUUGCGGUCGCUUUCAGUCAAAACCCAGAUGGCGUGGAGAAUGGACUCGCAAAUCUAAGCACUAACAGCCCCCAAAGGCUUUUCCUUUUUGCUGCAAAAAUUGCAUAAAUCACGGCGAAUGGUCAAUCUUUAGAUUUAUAUCAGAUGGGUACAAGGUUUUGGUAAUAUUUUGAUUUCCCGGUAUGAAACAAUGGGCCAGGCUUUAGGUAUACCUGAUAGUGGGCUACUAAUGCAAAGAGAUCCACCUCCAGUCAUCGAUCCUAAUGAACCACUGGACAAGCUUCUUCUGAACAAAAGAUUCCGUCAGUCUUUUAUGGCUUUUGCUGACAGGUUUCUCUCUCCUCUAUAGUUCAGUUAAUAGAAAUUAAUACUUGUGGUCUUUCCUUGAGAGAAUUUUUUUCAUGGUGUUUCCUCGGAUACUUCUUAACAGAUAUUUUCAUAAUUUAUUUUUCCUUGGAACAAUUUGGAGACUGGAGAAGCUUAGAUAAAAUUUCAGAUGAAAUAAGGAAAAAGGAUCAAUCUUUGAGUGUAAUAUUUAUGUUUUUAUCAUAAUUGCAGUUGUUUGGCUGGGGAGAGUGUUCAUUUCUAUAAUGAAGUGCAUGAGCGUGGCAAAAUCCCAAUAGAUGACACAGUAAGAAGGAUCUAUAUGACCCGGCAUAUUAUUGAGAAAUAUAUAGUUGCAGGUUUGUGAUUUUAAAAAGGAUAAAUAUUUUGCAUUCAUUUGCAUUACAUUCAAUAUUAUUUCCCCGGUGCUUAAAGUACAAUUUAUAUCCAACUAACACAGUUCUUCUUCUAGGAUAGGCUUACAUUAGAGAUAGGGAGUUGUUAAACUAUUGAUGUUGGUUUGCACUUUGGAAUUACGAAUCAAACAAUGAAGAAUUAUAUCCUAUGGAAUUCUUUUUUCAUUUUCACUAACUUUAAAUAUUCAGGAUUGCAUUUCUCUCUGAUACUUCCAAUGAUUUUUCUACUGCAUAGGUGCAGCAACAGAGGUGAACAUAUCUCACCGAACGCGGCAAGAAAUAUUGACUACAGUUGAUCUAGCACACCCUGAUCUCUUUAAUAAUGCAAUAAAUGAGGUGCUGCAGCUAAUGAAAAUGAAUUUAGCAAAAGAUUACUGGACAUCCAUGUUUUUCAUCAAAUUCAAAGAAGAAGCCAAUAUGAGAUCCAAUGACCAUGACCUGGAACAGAUGGCAGGUUGGAACUUCUCUCCUAGAUUGAGUUCUGUACAUGGCACUGAUGAUCCAUUCCAUCAAGAACAUCUUGUGAAGGGCAUUGAUUCAGACACAAAAGGCCAAGAAUUGUGAAUAUUGUGCCGGUUUACUGCAAAGUUGAUUCAGGGAUUGAGCAUGGCAUACCAAGUGUAACAAGUGAUGCAAUUCAUAGUGAACCAUCAACGUAUGAUGAUUCAGAACAUGAUGAAUGCACACAAAAUUAGAAGUGAAAAAGAAAGGAUGAGUAGAGAAAGGAGGUGAACUCAACUGCCUGUUAAGGUUGGAAGUUAAUGCGUUUAUAGCAUUUAUACAGACGCAAGAGUAAUUGCUCAAUGUAUCUAUCUCUGGUGUUGAGGGAAAAAUGUGCAUUAUUGUAUAACCAAUAUUAUCAAACUAUUUUGUUAGUGAUAAGGCCAUCUAACCAGCCUGACCUCAAUGAUUUAGUCUGAAUAGGGACACUUGAAAGUAACCCACCUCCCAAGGUUUUUCAUGUGGCCCAGUGAAAAAUGCUAGAUAGCAACAAGAGCCCAGGUAGAAGAGAAGUCUUGUUUUUUUGGAAAAUGUUGCUUUUAAGUUUAGCAUUUUGAUUGCAGCAGCUUCCUUGAUCCGUCCAGGUCAUGUUUAGUGUUGGUGCUGCCAUCCUUAAAUAUCAGAGGGUAAAUAGCUAUUCUCCUCUUUGAAAUUUAGAAUUUCAUAAGAAUUC
This 2085-nucleotide unclassified non-coding RNA is filed under the name Hevea brasiliensis (rubber tree). The record is from RNAcentral. Lineage: Eukaryota; Viridiplantae; Streptophyta; Magnoliopsida; Malpighiales; Euphorbiaceae.